Molecule: long non-coding RNA, 246 nt
Organism: Lolium rigidum
Lineage: Eukaryota; Viridiplantae; Streptophyta; Magnoliopsida; Poales; Poaceae
Exons: 3
Source: RefSeq, a predicted model, not a curated record
GUGUCGAGCACCUUCUGUGCGUGCACGCUUGGUCUCCACGUCAUCCGCCAUGCUGGCGCCGCGCAGGCGUCACGGGCCCCACCUGUCAGCGUCCGCAGCUAGCCCAACCUCGGUUCUGUUCCGACCCACCAUCCCAGUCAGCCGCCAAGUCAGCUCCUGGACCCGCGCGUCAGUGUCUCUGGCUGGCUAUCUCUUCGCAUUUGCUUCUUCCCGGAUAGGAUCACGAAGUGUUGAUGUGAGAUACGA